UCGGGAAUUUUGGGCAAUGGGGGAAACCCUGACCCAGCAACGCCGCGUGAAGGAUGAAGUAUUUCGGUAUGUAAACUUCGAAAGAAUAGGAAGAAUAAAUGACGGUACUAUUUAUAAGGUCCGGCUAACUACGUGCCAGCAGCCGCGGUAAUACGUAGGGACCAAGCGUUGUUCGGAUUUACUGGGCGUAAAGGGCGCGUAGGCGGCAUGACAAGUCACUUGUGAAAUCUCUGGGCUUAACCCAGAACGGCCAAGUGAUACUGUCACGCUAGAGUGCAGAAGGGGCAAUCGGAAUUCUUGGUGUAGCGGUGAAAUGCGUAGAUAUCAAGAGGAACACCUGAGGUGAAGACGGGUUGCUGGGCUGACACUGACGCUGAGGCGCGAAAGCCAGGGGAGCAAACGGGAUUAGAUACCCGCGUAGUCCCUGAGCGGGCUGGCAAGGCGCAU
RNAcentral lists this ribosomal RNA (447 nucleotides) under uncultured bacterium. RNAcentral describes it as "bacterial SSU rRNA". It matches the Rfam family "Bacterial small subunit ribosomal RNA", at positions 355 to 825 of the family's 1533-position model. The record is from RNAcentral.